This 484-nucleotide ribosomal RNA is filed under the name uncultured bacterium. RNAcentral describes it as "partial 16S ribosomal RNA". It matches the Rfam family "Bacterial small subunit ribosomal RNA", at positions 30 to 507 of the family's 1533-position model. The record is from RNAcentral.
AUUGAACGCUGGCGGCAGGCCUAACACAUGCAAGUCGAGCGGAUGAAGGGUGCUUGUUUCUGGAUUCAGCGGGGGACGGGUGUGUAUUGCCUAGGAAUCUGCCUGGUAGUGGGGUAUAAUGUCCGGAGACGGGCGCUAAUACCACAUAAGUCCUGAGCGAGAAAGAGGGGGAGCUUCGGACAUCAUGCUAUCAGAUGAGCCUAGGUGGGAUUAGCCAGUUUGUGGGGUAAAGGCCUACCGAGGCGACGAUCCGUAACUGGACUGCGAGGAUGAUCAGUCACACUAGAAGUGGGACACGGACCAUGCUCCUGCGAGAGGGAGCAGUGUGGUAUGGUGGGCAGUAGGCGAAAGCCUGAUCCAGCCAUGCCGCGUGUGUGAAGAAGGUCUUCGGAUUGUAAAGCACGUUAAGUUGGGGGGAAGGGCAGUAAGUUAAUACCAUGCUGGUGUGACGUUACCCAGAGAAUAAGCACCGGCUAACUUCGUG